GUUUUUAUAGUUUAAUUUAAAAACAUUGGUCUUGUAAAUCAAAAAUAUAUAAAUAUAUUAAAAACU
Molecule: transfer RNA, 66 nt
Filed under: Caloptilia theivora
Lineage: Eukaryota; Metazoa; Arthropoda; Insecta; Lepidoptera; Gracillariidae
Description: tRNA-Thr
Rfam family: tRNA
About the family: Transfer RNA (tRNA) molecules are approximately 80 nucleotides in length.
Source: RNAcentral